This 87-nucleotide small RNA is filed under the name Cricetulus griseus (Chinese hamster). The record is from RNAcentral. Lineage: Eukaryota; Metazoa; Chordata; Mammalia; Rodentia; Cricetidae.
UCCCAUCCAAGUACUAACCAGGCCAGACCCUGCUUAGCUUCAAAGAGAAGAUGAGAUCCAGAGCAUUCAGGAUGGUAUGGCUGUAGA